RNAcentral lists this ribosomal RNA (499 nucleotides) under uncultured bacterium. RNAcentral describes it as "partial 16S ribosomal RNA". It matches the Rfam family "Bacterial small subunit ribosomal RNA", at positions 30 to 523 of the family's 1533-position model. The record is from RNAcentral.
AUUGAACGCUGGCGGCAUGCCUUACACAUGCAAGUCGAACGGCAGCACGGGAGCAAUCCUGGUGGCGAGUGGCGAACGGGUGAGUAAAGUAUCGGAACGUGCCCAGUCGUGGGGAUAACGUAGCGAAAGUUACGCUAAUACCGCAUACGAUCUAUGGAUGAAAGCGGGGGAUCGCAAGACCUCGCGCGAUUGGAGCGGCCGAUAUCAGACUAGGUAGUUGGUGGGGUAAAGGCUCACCAAGCCGACGAUCUGUAGCCGGUGUGAGAGGACGACCAGCCACACUGGGACUGAGACACGGCCCAGACUCCUACGGGAGGCAGCAGUGGGGAAUUUUGGACAAUGGGCGCAAGCCUGAUCCAGCCAUGCCGCGUGCAGGAUGAAGGCCUUCGGGUUGUAAACUGCUUUUGUACGGAACGAAAAGGUUUGACUUAAUACGUUGGACUCAUGACGGUACCGUAAGAAUAAGCACCGGCUAACUACGUGCCAGCCGCCGCCGUAA